RNAcentral lists this long non-coding RNA (1172 nucleotides) under Salmo salar (Atlantic salmon). Its description in RNAcentral is "lncRNA (ENSSSAG00000115567.1)". Lineage: Eukaryota; Metazoa; Chordata; Actinopteri; Salmoniformes; Salmonidae. The record is from RNAcentral.
CUGUUAUGUUCUGCAUGCCCACAUAAUGCAAAUCAUAAAAAAGUAAUAUUUUUAUGCUUACAGUAAGUGUCAUGAAAACUCAGGAGGUUGAUGUGUUAUGGGCCUUCUGGAAAGUCCUAAAAUAUGCCCCUGAGCCGUGUUGGGGAAUGACGCAAAGUAUUUUUUUUAAAUACAUCUCUAAGCUAUAACUGCCACAGCAUUAUUCAACUAGUACCAUGGAAAUACUUUUAACUGGCUGAGUACAACGUUUCUUCAAGAGUGUCCUUUUCUAGUUUGCUUAUAAAAUAUUAACUUGAUAAAAUUGUAAUGUGCUGAUUGUCUUCACUUCAUCUGAUCCAUCACACCACUCUUCAAGAGGACCACUCUGCUCCAGAUCUGACCCAUCACACCACUCUUCAAGAGGACCACUCUGCUCCAGAUCUGACCCAUCACACCACUCUUCAAGAGGACCACUCUGCUCCAGAUCUGACCCAUCACACCACUCUUCAAGAGGACCACUAUGCUCCAGAUCUGACCCAUCACACCACUCUUCAAGAGGACACUAUGCUCCAGAUCUGACCCAUCACACCACUCUUCAAGAGGACCACUAUGCUCCAGAUCUGACCCAUCACACCACUCUUCAAGAGGACACUAUGCUCCAGAUCUGACCCAUCACACCACUCUUCAAGAGGGCCACUAUGCUCCAGAACUGACCCAUCACACCACUCUUCAAGAGGACCACUCUGCUCCAGAUCUGACCCAUCACACCACUCUUCAAGAGGACCACUAUGCUCAAGAUCUGACCCAUCACACCACUCUUCAAGAGGACCACUCUGCUCCAGAUCUGACCCAUUACACCACUCUUCAAGAGGACCACUAUGCUCAAGAUCUGACCCAUUACACCACUCUUCAAGAGGACCACUCUGCUCCAGAUCUGACCCAUUACACCACUCUUCAAGAGGACCACUACGCUCCAGAUCGCCUUCUGUGCUCAGAUGUCCUUGAUGAGGAUCUAGCCCAUCACACCACUGUUGCAGGUUAACUUUAAUUGGUAACUAUGGAUACAAAUAGAAAUGUAAUGAACAAUGUUUUCAAUGUCCAACUUCAUCCUCUGCAGAUCUUACACUCUUAGGGGAAAAAACGUAUUUGGCUGUCCCCAUAGGAGAACUCUUGAAGAACUCUGUUUGGUUCCA